This 289-nucleotide ribosomal RNA is filed under the name uncultured bacterium. Its description in RNAcentral is "partial 16S ribosomal RNA". It matches the Rfam family "Bacterial small subunit ribosomal RNA", at positions 29 to 346 of the family's 1533-position model. The record is from RNAcentral.
AACGAACGCUGGCGGCAUGCCUAACACAUGCAAGUCGAACGAGACCUUCGGGUCUAGUGGCGCACGGGUGCGUAACGCGUGGGAAUCUGCCCUUAGGUUCGGAAUAACAGUUAGAAAUGACUGCUAAUACCGGAUGAUGACUUCGGUCCAAAGAUUUAUCGCCUAGGGAUGAGCCCGCGUAAGAUUAGCUAGUUGGUGAGGUAAAGGCUCACCAAGGCUACGAUCUAGUCUGGUCUGAGAGGAUGAUCAGCCACACUGGGACUGAGACACGGCCCAGACUCCUACGGGA